This is a long non-coding RNA of Macadamia integrifolia, 359 nucleotides long. RefSeq lists it as uncharacterized. The record is from RefSeq and is a predicted model, not a curated record. The transcript is spliced from 2 exons. Lineage: Eukaryota; Viridiplantae; Streptophyta; Magnoliopsida; Proteales; Proteaceae.
UUCUUAAGGAAAAGAAGUGAAAUUUGGGGUUUCAUUGGUGUUCUUGAGAAAGAGGUGAUUUUACAGGUUACCCCCUUGGUAAUCAGGAGCCACGCCCCACUGUGGAGUUUUCAUCUGAGGACUGGUGGGUCCUUGAUGAGUUCGAGCAUGGUGUCGAUUGUACGAGUGAGGAUUGUGCUGCGUGGCAGCUAUGACUCCUGAAUGAUUCUUUUGAUUCUAUUUUAUGUACUCCUUUUUUGUACUUGAUGCUUAAAUUAUUAUAUUUUGUAUAUAUAUUAUGCCUUUGGGCCCAAAUGUAUGUAACCUUUAUAACUAAAUUUGGGUGUCGAGUAUUUGAGAAACAAUUAUAGGUUUUAUUA